AGCAGCCGCGGUAAUUCCAGCUCCAAUAGCGUAUAUUAAAGUUGUUGCAGUUAAAAAGCUCGUAGUUGAAUUUUGGAUUCUUCCAAUUGGUCCAUCUUUUAGAUGAGUACUGGUUGUGUGGGGUCUAUCCGCCUGGUGAUACGUAAUGUCCUUUAUUGGAUGUUGCGGGUAGUCAGGACCUUUACCUUGAAAAAUUAGAGUGUUUAAAGCAGGCUUAUGCCGGAAUACAUUAGCAUGGAAUAAUAGAAUAGGACGAAGUUGUUUUAUUUUGUUGGUUUCUAGGACAACCGUAAUGAUUAAUAGGGAUAGUUGGGGGCAUUAGUAUUCAAUUGUCAGAGGUGAAAUUCUUGGAUUUAUUGAAGACUAACUACUGCGAAAGCAUUUGCCAAGGAUGUUUUCAUUAAUCAAGAACGAAAGUUAGGGGAUCGAAGACGAUCAGAUACCGUCGUAGUCUUAACCAUAAACUAUGCCGACUAGGGAUCGGGCGAUGUUGUUUCCAUGACUCGCUCGGCACCUAUGG
RNAcentral lists this ribosomal RNA (520 nucleotides) under uncultured Archaeospora. RNAcentral describes it as "SSU rRNA". It matches the Rfam family "Eukaryotic small subunit ribosomal RNA", at positions 569 to 1092 of the family's 1831-position model. The record is from RNAcentral. Lineage: Eukaryota; Fungi; Glomeromycota; Glomeromycetes; Archaeosporales; Archaeosporaceae.